GAUGAACGCUGGCGGCGUGCCUAAUACAUGCAAGUCGAGCGAACAGGCGAGGUUCUUGCUCCUCUGACGUUAGCGGCGGACGGGUGAGUAACACGUGGAGAACCUGCCUAUGAGACUGGGAUAACUUCGGGAAACCGGUGCUAAUACCGGAUAAUAUAUUCAACCUCAUGGUUCAAUAGUUAAAGAGGGUUUUGCUGGACCCUAUAGAUAUCUCCGCGUCGCAUUGGUUAGUUGGUACGGUAACGGCUUACCAAGGCAACGAUGGGUGGCCGACCGGACAGGGUGUUCGGCCACAGUGGGACUGAGACACGGUCCAGACUCCUACGGGAGGCAGCAGUAGGGACUCUUCGGCAAUGGGCGAAAGAUUGACGGAGCAACGCCGCGUGAGUGAUGAAGGUCUUCGGAUCGUAAAACUCUGUUAUUAGGGAAGAACAAAUGUGUAAGUAGCUAUGCACGUCUUGACGGUACCUAAUCAGAAAGCAACGGCUAACUACGUG
This 497-nucleotide ribosomal RNA is filed under the name uncultured bacterium. Its description in RNAcentral is "partial 16S ribosomal RNA". It matches the Rfam family "Bacterial small subunit ribosomal RNA", at positions 28 to 507 of the family's 1533-position model. The record is from RNAcentral.